Molecule: ribosomal RNA, 253 nt
Filed under: uncultured bacterium
Lineage: Bacteria
Description: partial 16S ribosomal RNA
Rfam family: Bacterial small subunit ribosomal RNA
Source: RNAcentral
UACAGAGGUCUCAAGCGUUGUUCGGAUUCAUUGGGCGUAAAGGGUGUGUAGGUGGCGCCGUAAGUCGGGUGUGAAAUUUCGGAGCUUAACUCCGAAACUGCAUUCGAUACUGCGGUGCUUGAGGACUGGAGAGGAGACUGGAAUUCAUGGUGUAGCAGUGAAAUGCGUAGAGAUCAUGAGGAAGACCAGUGGCGAAGGCGACCCACUGGGUCUCUUCUGACGCUGAGGUACGAAAGCUAGGGUAGCGAACGGG